This 1450-nucleotide ribosomal RNA is filed under the name Weissella confusa. RNAcentral describes it as "bacterial SSU rRNA". It matches the Rfam family "Bacterial small subunit ribosomal RNA". Lineage: Bacteria; Bacillati; Bacillota; Bacilli; Lactobacillales; Lactobacillaceae. The record is from RNAcentral.
UGCAAGUCGAACGCUUUGUGGUUCAACUGAUUUGAAGAGCUUGCUCAGAUAUGACGAUGGACAUUGCAAAGAGUGGCGAACGGGUGAGUAACACGUGGGAAACCUACCUCUUAGCAGGGGAUAACAUUUGGAAACAGAUGCUAAUACCGUAUAACAAUGACAACCGCAUGGUUGUUAUUUAAAAGAUGGUUCUGCUAUCACUAAGAGAUGGUCCCGCGGUGCAUUAGCUAGUUGGUAAGGUAAUGGCUUACCAAGGCGAUGAUGCAUAGCCGAGUUGAGAGACUGAUCGGCCACAAUGGGACUGAGACACGGCCCAUACUCCUACGGGAGGCAGCAGUAGGGAAUCUUCCACAAUGGGCGAAAGCCUGAUGGAGCAACGCCGCGUGUGUGAUGAAGGGUUUCGGCUCGUAAAACACUGUUGUAAGAGAAGAAUGACAUUGAGAGUAACUGUUCAAUGUGUGACGGUAUCUUACCAGAAAGGAACGGCUAAAUACGUGCCAGCAGCCGCGGUAAUACGUAUGUUCCAAGCGUUAUCCGGAUUUAUUGGGCGUAAAGCGAGCGCAGACGGUUAUUUAAGUCUGAAGUGAAAGCCCUCAGCUCAACUGAGGAAUUGCUUUGGAAACUGGAUGACUUGAGUGCAGUAGAGGAAAGUGGAACUCCAUGUGUAGCGGUGAAAUGCGUAGAUAUAUGGAAGAACACCAGUGGCGAAGGCGGCUUUCUGGACUGUAACUGACGUUGAGGCUCGAAAGUGUGGGUAGCAAACAGGAUUAGAUACCCUGGUAGUCCACACCGUAAACGAUGAGUGCUAGGUGUUUGAGGGUUUCCGCCCUUAAGUGCCGCAGCUAACGCAUUAAGCACUCCGCCUGGGGAGUACGACCGCAAGGUUGAAACUCAAAGGAAUUGACGGGGACCCGCACAAGCGGUGGAGCAUGUGGUUUAAUUCGAAGCAACGCGAAGAACCUUACCAGGUCUUGACAUCCCUUGACAACUCCAGAGAUGGAGCGUUCCCUUCGGGGACAAGGUGACAGGUGGUGCAUGGUUGUCGUCAGCUCGUGUCGUGAGAUGUUGGGUUAAGUCCCGCAACGAGCGCAACCCUUAUUACUAGUUGCCAGCAUUCAGUUGGGCACUCUAGUGAGACUGCCGGUGACAAACCGGAGGAAGGUGGGGAUGACGUCAAAUCAUCAUGCCCCUUAUGACCUGGGCUACACACGUGCUACAAUGGCGUAUACAACGAGUUGCCAACCCGCGAGGGUGAGCUAAUCUCUUAAAGUACGUCUCAGUUCGGAUUGUAGGCUGCAACUCGCCUACAUGAAGUCGGAAUCGCUAGUAAUCGCGGAUCAGCACGCCGCGGUGAAUACGUUCCCGGGUCUUGUACACACCGCCCGUCACACCAUGAGAGUUUGUAACACCCAAAGCCGGUGGGGUAACCUUCGGGAGCCAGCCGUCUAAG